ACGAGAGGAAUCAACUAAGUAUGCGAGCUCGCCUGCUACUAAUCGGAUAAUUGUGUCCAUGUGAACCUUCUUCUUUCCAGUACUCAAAACCUGAGUUCACCAAAAAAAAGGAUCAGUUUAGGCGAAGCAUUGAAUUGGUAAAAAUGUCUAUAAUCUAUACAACAGCUUGCAAUACAGAUAACAACUCGUUGAGAAUUGUUGCAUUGAUGCAGGUCUAGCUGGAACUUGGUGGAUGGACCUAGAUGAGAGGAGGUAGAGGUUCCAUAGCAGGUUACCCAGGGUCCCGGUGGUCCGGUGAGAUGGACGCCGCGGACGAACUUGCCAAGCAUGUUGCACUUCCGCUGGGCGAUGUGUGCAUGUCUCGCUUGUCCUCUCCAAGGGCUAGUUAGCAGUAGCAACAUCAGAAUCGGAGAGUAGGAGCGAGCCUUGGGGAGGGUACCUGGUAUUAUCGCCCUGUCGCUCAUCCGGUGCCGCUGGAUCUCCCUCCAAUGGCAAAUCGACCUCGCGGAAGAAACGGCAAGCGACACUGGCUCGAUUCAAUAGUGGUAUAUGAGAUAGGGAAUUGGGAUGAUCAGGAGCGGCAACGCAGCUCUGCCUCUCGGCCGGUGGGUUGGCCUCAUGGCCACCAGCCACCGACCACAUAGGAGCUCAGCCCUGGGCCACCCCAUGGCCACCCCAUAGCCACCAAGCACCGGCAAAGUAGGAGCUCAGCUUGGGUGGCGUGCCACCCUGAUGGACGCGAGCACACGCAGCAAUGGAGGGAGAGGAGAGAGCCGAUCGUUGGGGUGGAGGUGGGCGGCGGCCAUGGAAUUUUAUUUGACUGGGACGAUGGGAU
Molecule: long non-coding RNA, 835 nt
Organism: Lolium rigidum
Lineage: Eukaryota; Viridiplantae; Streptophyta; Magnoliopsida; Poales; Poaceae
Exons: 3
Source: RefSeq, a predicted model, not a curated record